CCUGAAAUCAGGUAAAUAUCCGUGGAUAUAAUCUGUAUAAAGAAUCAAAAGGCUGACAUAGCGUAAUACAGUAUUAAAUGGAGUGUGUGAUAAAUGUGGUAAUGAGUACACUCACAAACAAACGUGAAAUCAGGCUUCUCACCCUCUCAGGGGUCAUUUGCUGUAUGAUGAAUAUGAACUUGAAAUAUCAUCCGAUGGAAUAUAUGUAAAUAAAGGAAAUCAGAUAUAGGGAAGUUUGUUAUACAAUUACAAAAUCACAUUUAUUGGUCGCACUUACACAUAGGAAUAUUAAGAAGAGCGUGUCUCCAUAUAACAUGGAACUCCUGUACAGCGUGGUAAAAAAAAUCCAGGAGAAAAUCCAGGAACAGGUUUAUGGAACCGCCAAAUACAGGUAAACAAUAAAAUACAAAAUAAAAG
Non-coding RNA from Pelobates cultripes (western spadefoot toad), 417 nucleotides. The record is from the annotation of a GenBank genome assembly. Lineage: Eukaryota; Metazoa; Chordata; Amphibia; Anura; Pelobatidae.